GAUGAACGCUGGCGGCGUGCCUAAUACAUGCAAGUCGAGCGAACGGACGAGAAGCUUGCUUCUCUGAUGUUAGCGGCGGACGGGUGAGUAACACGUGGAUAACCUACCUAUAAGACUGGGAUAACUUCGGGAAACCGGAGCCAAUACCGGAUGAUAUUUUGAACCGCAUGGUUCAAAAGUGAAAGAUGGUCUUGCUGUCACUUAUAGAUGGAUCCGCGCUGCAUUAGCUAGUUGGUAAGGUAACGGCUUACCAAGGCAACGAUGCAUAGCCGACCUGAGAGGGUGAUCGGCCACACUGGAACUGAGACACGGUCCAGACUCCUACGGGAGGCAGCAGUAGGGAAUCUUCCGCAAUGGGCGAAAGCCUGACGGAGCAACGCCGCGUGAGUGAUGAAGGUCUUCGGAUCUUAAAACUCUGUUAUUAGGGAAGAACAUAUGUGUAAGUAACUGUGCACAUCUUGACGGUACCUAAUCAGAAAGCCACGGCUAACUACGUG
This 497-nucleotide ribosomal RNA is filed under the name uncultured bacterium. Its description in RNAcentral is "partial 16S ribosomal RNA". It matches the Rfam family "Bacterial small subunit ribosomal RNA", at positions 28 to 507 of the family's 1533-position model. The record is from RNAcentral.